GGCAGUGUGGUGCAGUGGUUUGAGUGCUGGACUCUGGAGACCAGGGUUCGAAUCCCAACUCAGUCA
This is a non-coding RNA of Phrynosoma platyrhinos (Desert horned lizard), 66 nucleotides long. NCBI's taxonomy places the organism in Eukaryota, Metazoa, Chordata, Lepidosauria, Squamata, Phrynosomatidae. The record is from the annotation of a GenBank genome assembly.